ACUCUGGGGCUGGCGCAGGCCCUCAGCGACGCCGGGCGCGUGCGUUCCGUUGCCUCCAGCCCCUGGGCACCGCUGCCAGUCGCUCCCUGGCGGGGAGAGGCCUGCAGAAGUCAGGCCAGGUGUCUCUCUUUCCCUUGGGCCCGCGGCCCAACCCCAUAGCACCAGGCAGCCCCCAUUGGUAUUGCGACCUCUGCGUCAGUCGCGCUCAUUCCGUAGAUACAGGUGUGCCGGGGAAGCCCGGGGAAGGGAUGCGUGGCCAUCACCACACCCCGCCCCACGACGCGGUGGGACGCGCACCCUGGCUCUCCCCAGAGCCGCGCCCAGGACCUUGUCUGGGCGGAAAAUGGCAGCCGUUGCCGGGCAGGAGCGGCGAGCGAGAGGGGCCCCGGCCAGAGACACUGGGAGCCAUCCCUAGGAGGGAGGAAAGCGGGGCGGGCUUGAGCCGAGCCUUCAAGCUCCUGGAGCAGGCUCCAUUGUCCUGUGAGACUUCGCUGAGAAAACCCAAAUUCAAAGGCAUGGCUCUGUCAGCGCUGAUGAGGCUGCCCGCACGGCUCCCUUCCAUCUUGACCUCUGGUUCUACUUCACACUGCAGAACUGGGUUCUGGACUUUGGGCGUCCCAUUGCCAUGCUGGUAUUCCCUCUCGAAUGGUUUCCACUCAACAAGCCCAGUGUUGGGGACUAUUUCCACAUGGCCUACAACGUCAUCACACCCUUUCUCUUGCUCAAGGUACUGUCCCAGGGCCCCCACUCUCUCCUGUCAUCCCCAUUCUUUGCACACCUGGCAAGAAGGUGAUGCUAAGCCCUGUGUCCUGACUCAAGCACACUCCUGCCUGCUGCUGGGGGGUGAAGGCUGUGACAGAGCAGCAUGUCCAGGGCCUGGGGCCCAGGGGAGGCGGAGCUGCCGGUGGCCUGGAGGGAUGGAAAAUAUACCCCAAGGGAGGGCUUUUGAUUUGAGCCUCAGCCUGGCGUGCCAGCAGGGGAAGCAGAGAGGUGUUCAGGUAGAAGGACCUAAGGACAAGGCUGUGCUUGGGAAACCGUAAAACAUUUGGGGAGGCUGAGGCAGGAGUGACUGGGGGUCCAGGGAGAGGUCAGGGACCCACUGGGAAGAGAAGCAGCAGCCAGGUGGCGGGAGAGGCAGCAGCAGCAGCUGAACUCCAUCCUCCGCCCUGGAGAGCCCUGAGAUGUCACUGGGAGCACGAGCAGGAACUGCUGGCUUUGCACUUUGCCAAGUAAGGGCUUUGAAACUACUAUAGGUUGAGCAUCCCUAAUCCAAAAAUCUGAAAUCUGAAAUGCUCCAGAGGAGUCUGAAAUUUUUAAAGUACUGGCAUGAUACUAUAAGUAGAAAACUCGGCCGGGCGCGGUGGCUCGAGCCUGUAAUCCCAGCACUUUGGGAGGCUGAGGUGGGCGGAUCACUUGAGGUCAGAAGUUCAAGCCCAGCCUGGCCAACAUGGUGAAACCCCCGUCUCCAUUAUAGGGCCGGCAUGGUGGCUUACGCCUGUAAUCCCAGCACUCUGGGAGCCCAAGGCAGGCAGAUCACUUGAGGUCAGGAGUUCGAGACCAGCCUGGCCAACAUGGCAAAACCUCAUCUCCAUUAAAAAUACAAAAAAGUUAGCCAGGCGCGGUGGUGUGGGCCUGCAGUCCCAGCUACUUGGGAGGCUGAGGCAGGAGAAUCACUUGAAUCCAGGAGGUGGAGGUUGCAGUGAGCCGAGAUUCCACCACCGCACUCCAGCCU
This 1732-nucleotide small RNA is filed under the name Pongo abelii (Sumatran orangutan). RNAcentral describes it as "retained intron". Lineage: Eukaryota; Metazoa; Chordata; Mammalia; Primates; Hominidae. The record is from RNAcentral.